GGCCUUCAAUAUCGGCUGUGGACGACCUAUAUUCCCUGUGCCGGCGGCCGCAAGGCCGCUCGGCUAUGGCGAUAAACGUCUCGCGCAAUAACCACUGCGGACCCGGGGGCGGUACCCGGCGCCUCCACCAAUGGGGGCGAAAUAGGAUCGACGCGUGGGUAAAGGUGGGUACUUUCGCCCGGCAUGGUUCCGCCGUUAUCGGGCCGUUUUACAACUGCCAAUGACAACUCGAAGUUGGCACUCGCUGCCUAACACUAGGUAAGCGCGGCCCGGGGGGCGCCGGGCAACAGAAGCCCCCCACC
Molecule: transfer-messenger RNA, 302 nt
Filed under: Candidatus Odyssella sp.
Lineage: Bacteria; Pseudomonadati; Pseudomonadota; Alphaproteobacteria; Holosporales; Candidatus Paracaedibacteraceae
Rfam family: Alphaproteobacteria transfer-messenger RNA
About the family: Bacterial tmRNA, also known as 10Sa RNA or SsrA, is named for its dual tRNA and mRNA-like properties.
Source: RNAcentral